AGCCAGUCCAAUGGUAGUGGGUUAGCAGAACUUAUUAACAUUAGUGUCACUAAAGUUGUUAUUCAACCCUCCACUGCUAAAUUUGACAGGCUUCAA
RNAcentral lists this Y RNA (96 nucleotides) under Prolemur simus (greater bamboo lemur). RNAcentral's name for it is "Y RNA (ENSPSMG00000009987.1)". It matches the Rfam family "Y RNA". Rfam says of the family: Y RNAs are components of the Ro ribonucleoprotein particle (Ro RNP), in association with Ro60 and La proteins. The Y RNAs and Ro60 and La proteins are well conserved, but the function of the Ro RNP is not known. The record is from Rfam by way of RNAcentral. Lineage: Eukaryota; Metazoa; Chordata; Mammalia; Primates; Lemuridae.